CAAUAGCGUAUAUUAAAGUUGUUGCAGUUAAAAAGCUCGUAGUUGGAUUUGUGGCUGUCACGGGCGGCCUAUCACUUAGUGUUAGUGCUUGCCUGUGUCGCCAUCCUUGGGUGGAGCCCGUGUGGCAUUAGGUUGUCGUGCGGGGGAUGCCCAUCGUUUACUGUGAGAAAAUUAGAGUGUUCAAAGCAGGCUUAUGCCGUUGAAUAUGUUAGCAUGGAAUAAUAAGAUAGGACCUCGGUACUAUUUUGUUGGUUUGCGCACCGAGGUAAUGAUUAAUAGGGACAGUUGGGGGUAUUCGUAUUUCAUUGUCAGAGGUGAAAUUCUUGGAUUUCUGAAAGACGAACUACUGCGAAAGCAUUUACCAAGGGUGUUUUCAUUAA
This 380-nucleotide ribosomal RNA is filed under the name uncultured eukaryote. RNAcentral describes it as "partial 18S ribosomal RNA". It matches the Rfam family "Eukaryotic small subunit ribosomal RNA", at positions 592 to 976 of the family's 1831-position model. The record is from RNAcentral.